Molecule: long non-coding RNA, 231 nt
Organism: Polypterus senegalus (gray bichir)
Lineage: Eukaryota; Metazoa; Chordata; Cladistia; Polypteriformes; Polypteridae
Exons: 3
Source: RefSeq, a predicted model, not a curated record
GCCAGGCGCCUAUAUAGCGCCUUUUCUACACUGCAUAUAUAUGAAUGCAAACCGCUCUGUGUGCAUCACAUAGAAACAUACUUCAAUUUUUCAAACACAGUGCGGCUUGACUUGAGUUCCAGCUUCCGUUCCCUGUGCAGCGUUAGAGUGAAGUACAUGUGGCAGUCGUGUACACUCUCAUCCUUGAAAAGAGAAAAUCUCUUGCAGAUCAUUCCUGGGAAAUCCCAUCUG